RNAcentral lists this ribosomal RNA (493 nucleotides) under uncultured bacterium. Its description in RNAcentral is "partial 16S ribosomal RNA". It matches the Rfam family "Bacterial small subunit ribosomal RNA", at positions 28 to 506 of the family's 1533-position model. The record is from RNAcentral.
GACGAACGCUGGCGGCGUGCUUAACACAUGCAAGUCGAACGGUGAAGCGCCUUCCUUUUUGGUGGGUGUGGAUGAGUGGCGAACGGGUGAGUAACACGUGAGUAACCUGCCCCCUUCUUCUGGAUAACCGCAUGAAAGUGUGGCUAAUACGGGAUAUUCUGGGUCUGUCGCAUGAUGGGUCUGGGAAAGAUAUUGUUUCGGUGGGGGAUGGGCUCGCGGCCUAUCAGCUUGUUGGUGGGGUGAUGGCCUACCAAGGCGGUGACGGGUAGCCGGCCUGAGAGGGUGGACGGUCACACUGGGACUGAGACACGGCCCAGACUCCUACGGGAGGCAGCAGUGGGGAAUAUUGCACAAUGGGCGCAAGCCUGAUGCAGCGACGCCGCGUGAGGGAUGGAGGCCUUCGGGUUGUGAACCUCUUUCGCCAGUGAAGCAGGCCUGCCUCGUUUGUGGGUGGGUGGACGGGAGCUGGAUAAGAAGCGCCGGCUAACUACGU